Molecule: ribosomal RNA, 484 nt
Filed under: uncultured bacterium
Lineage: Bacteria
Description: partial 16S ribosomal RNA
Rfam family: Bacterial small subunit ribosomal RNA
Source: RNAcentral
AUUGAACGCUAGCGGGAUGCUUUACACAUGCAAGUCGAACGGCAGCGCGGACUUCGGUCUGGCGGCGAGUGGCGAACGGGUGAGUAAUGUAUCGGAACGUGCCCAGUAGCGGGGGAUAACUACGCGAAAGCGUAGCUAAUACCGCAUACGCCCUACGGGGGAAAGCAGGGGAUCGUAAGACCUUGCACUAUUGGAGCGGCCGAUAUCGGAUUAGCUAGUUGGUGAGGUAACGGCUCACCAAGGCGACGAUCCGUGGCUGGUUUGAGAGGACGACCAGCCACACUGGGACUGAGACACGGCCCAGACUCCUACGGGAGGCAGCAGUGGGGAAUUUUGGACAAUGGGGGCAACCCUGAUCCAGCCAUCCCGCGUGUGCGAUGAAGGCCUUCGGGUUGUAAAGCACUUUUGGCAGGAAAGAAACGUCGCGGGCUAAUACCCCGUGGAACUGACGGUACCUGCAGAAUAAGCACCGGCUAACUACGUG